GCUAAACAUCUGCAACCCAAACAAAAAUCGGGACAGAAUUCAGUUUGACAACUGCACUUGACUCAAGAUAAUAUGACAACUUGCCCCUUGCCCCCCCCCCACCAAAGAACUGUAAGUUUCGUAGCCUGCAUUUAUAUUUAGAUUACAGACAAGGAGGGAAGAAGAGCAGAAAUGUGUAUCCAAGUUACAAACAACAGCAAUAGGAGAGCCUCUUGGCGGAAAUUCAAUAGGAUUCCUGUUCCCGGGAGGGGACCCUUGAAUAGUCCGACAAGGUGAUGUGACUGGCAUGCCUUUGGAUGUUUCAGGAGUCAUAACAUAGGCCAGAAAGUAGGAAGGGGAGAGGAGACGGCCCCAAGUUCAUGUGGCCAAAAGAGAAAUCUGAGCAAAAAAUAAUAAUAAAAAUUUAAAAUGGAUAUUUAGCCAGUAAGGCAACUAAUUUCUCUCUAUGCAAAGGAGCCUGGUUAGAUACCCCAGAAGUCUUGGUUUCGGUGCCCCUACUGAUAGCAGAUCAAAUCUCAAAUACAUCUUUUCAGGCAACUCAGGUAUGCAGCAUGGAUUCAUAUGAGGACAUUGUCCCUCAAGACAAAAAUGCAAGAAAAGUAGAAAAGUCAACCAGAGGAAACAAUGCAAAGAAGAUCUAAGCAGAAGUCGUACUCCAGGUUCUAAUUCCCAAGCAGGAUUUGCAUAAGAUGAAGAUCCAGGCUUUCUCAAGAGCAGCUUCUUCAGAAUUCUUUCCCACUCCCCUGAAAGAGCUCUCCCUAGGCUGUUUACACUAAGAAUGGCCCAAAAGGAUGGAAACUUGAAGGCAGGGGUGAGAAGCUCUCCUUUCCAAUUUAACACCACUGCUACGAAAGGUGAGCUGUUCACUUCAGUGUCCCCCUGUUGCAAUUCGAGCAGACUAUUCAGUCGCUGUGAACAGACCUGAAUACCGUGCUGGGCUGUACUUCAUUCAUUCAUUCAUCCAUUCAUAAAUGGGUGCCUACUGUGCUUUGUGCACUGUGCUGGGCACAGUGGGGAGAACCAGGCACGGAGCUGCCCUCUGGAAACUUAUUGCAAGAGGGAAACCAGGCCUUUUCAAUCACAAAGAAAUGCACAGUUGUGUCUAUGAUUAAGUACUUUGCAUGUAAGGGACCUGCGUGUUUUGACAGCCUCUAAUAGGGGAUUUUGAGCUAGUCAGGGAGGUCAGAGGAGGCUUCUCCGAGGAUGUGACAAUUGAACGGCCUUGUGAAAGCUGGCGAGUUAGCCCACUAAAGCCAUGAAGGGCACUGAAGCUAUUCCAGGC
Molecule: long non-coding RNA, 1282 nt
Organism: Phyllostomus discolor (pale spear-nosed bat)
Lineage: Eukaryota; Metazoa; Chordata; Mammalia; Chiroptera; Phyllostomidae
Exons: 3
Source: RefSeq, a predicted model, not a curated record